Molecule: long non-coding RNA, 2550 nt
Organism: Sander lucioperca (pikeperch)
Lineage: Eukaryota; Metazoa; Chordata; Actinopteri; Perciformes; Percidae
Exons: 6
Source: RefSeq, a predicted model, not a curated record
UGGUAUUGAUCAGUCUUCUGGCAUCAAAUAUUAACUUUCAUUCGUCCUGCAGGCAGAAUGUAAUGUAGGCCACAUUAUAUGACACGCACUGUCUGGGCAUCAUGACUCCACUAUAUGAACCUCAAACUCUGCAGUCAUUGUCUGCGGUCCAACAAGUCAAAGCCACUGCAUGACUACACAAUCCUCCACACAAACAAUUAUCAAAGACGACACGAGGCCCAAUAUAAUAUAUUUUGUUUCCCACAAACGUUACUAGUCAAAAAACCCUGUUGGCUGCAAUAGCUUGCAGUCCAGAAGACUUCACGCACAGUCAGACUCGCCAUGCAGCCGUGCGGAGAUAUUGAGGACAGCCUGCGCAGCGGAUGAAACAGAUGAAAAGCUUUCGCCUGGAUGUGUAUAAUCCUGUCCUCAGGACAGUCGUCAGACCACCUCGCAGAUUAUAACUCGAUUGAGGAUCACUUUCUAGGCUAUUUGAAUUACAUGAAGAGCGGCGGUGACACACACAGUUCUUCAACUGCCCUUUUCCUGACUAUUUCUGAAGCACCAAAACAACACGCAGCAGCUGCAGCCGUAGAGAAUGCCAGGAUAUGCCGCUUUUUUCUCUCGGUUUCCACUCAUGCCUGUUGCACUGUGGACGCGCUAGGAGGAGACUUGCCGCUGACAAGCAUCAAGCACAUGGUGCGUUAUUAUGAUCCACAAAUGAAGAAGAAACAAAGGCCCUGAAGCAAUCACUAUAUUGCAGCCAUGUACUGCAGAUGAAAAGCUGUUGCUUCACUCGUCUUAAAGAGAUGUGGAUCAAAGCGGGAAGAACAUGCUGAGUUUCCCAUCCAAUUUGAAAAUUGGCAGUAAGAUGGGUUUUGACUUCAGCCACAGGCACAAACAAUUUGGCCAACAAGUGAAAUCAUGGACAGACAGACUGGCGAUUGCAGCAGCAUUAAGUAACAGAUCUUCCCUCUCUGGGAUUUUUAGACGAAGGCUACCUGACAUGCUGCUGAAACCGUGAUGGAGGUUUCAUCCCCCCCCUUCGCUGCGUGUUACAGAGCAGGUGAGAAACAUUAACAGCAGCAGCAGCUGCGGCCCUCUGCUCUGCACAUGUGGGCCAGGAUAUGUGCCAGCUUAAGCUUGCCCACUGUCAACACUGGUCACUUUUGUUAACACGCUCCUUUCUGAAGCACACAAACAGUACUGAGAAAGAAGGGAUACGAUUGUAAUACAAUGAUUUACUUUUUUACAAUGAAUUGUAUCUACUUGCAACCUCACGUCACAUGUAGUUCAACCAAAGAGGGAUUUUUCAUUCACGAAAAUAUGGUCUGCUCAUUUUAAAAUGGACAAUAUUUAAUGAAAUGAACAUUUUAAUAGUUUUGAGGUUUUACAAUUUCCCAUAAAAUCCUUAUUUUGUAUUUCACAGUACCCUUUAAGUUAUUUGCUGGUCACAUUUGAAUAUGGAAAUAUCUAGGCCUUACAAUUUGUUUGGGACAUAUCCACCUUGUUGUAAUUUGAAAUCUAAAAUCUUGUAAUUUGAAUUCCCCCUGAGCUUGAGUCAUGAACCUGGGUGACCCAGUCUUCACAUUGUGUUCUGAACACACAGACUCCAGUCACACUGGUGAGGUGUCUCAGAGGAGAGUGGCAUGUGUAUUUGUGUUUCAGUGAGUCAUAACCGCUGUUUUGCAUUCAUCGAGGUGUGUCAAAGCGGAUUACCUGCAUGAACGGGGACCUGAAAUGAUUUAGUUAUUAAAGACUGUCCUUUGGGGUGAGGUAGUAGGUUGUAUAGUUUUAGGGUCAUACCCUUCCUGUCAGAUAACUAUACAACUUACUGUCUUUCCUGAAGUGGCUGUAAUGUCAUCAGAUGCCGUUGUUGGAGCUUUUGGAUCUGGAUCAACACUGCAAUAUGCAUGUUUACUCACUGACUGCUAAGAACAUAACUCAUUUACAGCAUUUGAUAGUGGUAGGCAAUUUAGGAUUGUAGUUGCUUUACGUCGUUUUCUCAUGAUUUUCAUGGUUGUACUUUAAGACUUUAUGAUCAAUAAAAAACGGCAAAACUUAGUCAUUGUCUGUCAUUGUUAGUUGCUUUAGAUAUCAAGUGUGUUUAUCUUUAAAAUGUAAAAAAAUGUAUGAGGAUAUUUUAUAAGAAAAUGUACAGUGUUUAUAUCUGUCACUCCACCUUAAUGCGCUCCAGUACGAGUUGCACCCAAGCAUGCCAACCUGUACGACCUUUCUGAUGUUCGAACGGGAUGAGGUAGUAGGUUGUGUGGUUUCAGGGUAGUGAUUUUGCCCAAUCAGGAGAUAACUAUACAACCUACUGCCUUCCCUGAAGGGCAGCAAUACGUCACCAUACAGACGACAGGGGGCAUCUUGCUCACGGCAUCAGAAAAACUCCCAAAAUCAACAAACCUGCUCCCUGUCCACUUCUUACCUGGAACAUAGGCGCAACAGCCAAUCAUAGCAGCAGAGAGGAUCAGCAGGUAAAGUCUGUUCACUAUGGGAUUUGUCUUUGAUUUGUUUAUUCAAACUUUGUGUUUCAAAUUAAUAAAGAAUAAGGUAAUUCAUAAA